AUUGAACGCUGGCGGCAGGCUCAACACAUGCAAGUCGAGCGGGGUGAUGGUGCUUGCACUAUCACUUAGCGGCGGACGGGUGAGUAAUGCUUAGGAAUCUGCCUAUUAGUGGGGGACAACAUCUCGAAAGGGAUGCUAAUACCGCAUACAUCCUACGGGAGAAAGCAGGGGAUCACUUGUGACCUUGCGCUAAUAGAUGAGCCUAAGUCGGAUUAGCUAGUUGGUGGGGUAAAGGCCUACCAAGGCGACGAUCUGUAGCGGGUCUGAGAGGAUGAUCGGCCACACGGGGACUGGGACACGGCCCAGAGUCCUACGGGAGGCAGCAGUGGGGAAUAUUGGACAAUGGGGGGAACCCUGAUCCAGCCAUGCCGCGUGUGUGAAGAAGGCCUUAUGGUUGUAAAGCACUUUAAGCGAGGAGGAGGCUCUUUUGGUUAAUACCCAAGAUGAGUGGACGUUACUCGCAGAAUAAGCACCGGCUAACUCUGUGCCAGCAGCCGCCGUAA
This 503-nucleotide ribosomal RNA is filed under the name uncultured bacterium. Its description in RNAcentral is "partial 16S ribosomal RNA". It matches the Rfam family "Bacterial small subunit ribosomal RNA", at positions 30 to 523 of the family's 1533-position model. The record is from RNAcentral.